GACGAACGCUGGCGGCAUGCUUAACACAUGCAAGUCGUACGGUAAGGCCCUUUCGGGGGUACACGAGUGGCGAACGGGUGAGUAACACGUGAGUAACCUGCCCACAACUUUGGGAUAACGCUAGGAAACUGGUGCUAAUACUGGAUAUGUGCUCCUGCUGCAUGGUGGGGGUUGGAAAGCUCCGGCGGUUGUGGAUGGACUCGCGGCCUAUCAGCUUGUUGGUGGGGUAGUGGCCUACCAAGGCGGCGACGGGUAGCCGGCCUGAGAGGGUGACCGGCCACAUUGGGACUGAGAUACGGCCCAGACUCCUACGGGAGGCAGCAGUGGGGAAUAUUGCACAAUGGGCGCAAGCCUGAUGCAGCAACGCCGCGUGCGGGAUGACGGCCUUCGGGUUGUAAACCGCUUUCAGCAGGGACGAAGCUUUUUGUGACGGUACCUGCAGAAGAAGCACCGGCUAACUACGUG
Molecule: ribosomal RNA, 465 nt
Filed under: uncultured bacterium
Lineage: Bacteria
Description: partial 16S ribosomal RNA
Rfam family: Bacterial small subunit ribosomal RNA
Source: RNAcentral